Molecule: ribosomal RNA, 391 nt
Filed under: uncultured bacterium
Lineage: Bacteria
Description: partial 16S ribosomal RNA
Rfam family: Bacterial small subunit ribosomal RNA
Source: RNAcentral
AUACGGAGGAUCCGAGCGUUAUCCGGAUUUAUUGGGUUUAAAGGGUGCGCAGGCGGGAGAUUAAGUCAGCGGUUAAAUGGUGCGGCUCAACCGUGCCCUGCCGUUGAAACUGGGUUUCUUGAGAGUGCAAGAAGCGGAUGGAAUUCAUGGUGGAGCGGUGAAAUGCUUAGAUAUCAUGAAGAACUCCGAUUGCGAAGGCAGUCCGCUGGGGCACGUCUGACGCUGAUGCUCGAAGGUGCGGGAAUCAAACAGGAUUAGAUACCCUGUAGUCCGCACGGUAAACGAUGAUUACCCGCUGUCGGCGGUAGGCAGUCGGCGGCCAAGCGAAAGCGAUAAGUAAUCCACCUGGGGAGUACGCCGGCAACGGUGAAACUCAAAUGAAUUGGCGGGG